Molecule: transfer RNA, 77 nt
Filed under: Agitococcus sp.
Lineage: Bacteria; Pseudomonadati; Pseudomonadota; Gammaproteobacteria; Moraxellales; Moraxellaceae
Also listed under: 2 other names
Description: tRNA-Arg
Rfam family: tRNA
About the family: Transfer RNA (tRNA) molecules are approximately 80 nucleotides in length. Their secondary structure includes four short double-helical elements and three loops (D, anti-codon, and T loops). Further hydrogen bonds mediate the characteristic L-shaped molecular structure. tRNAs have two regions of fundamental functional importance: the anti-codon, which is responsible for specific mRNA codon recognition, and the 3' end, to which the tRNAs corresponding amino acid is attached (by aminoacyl-tRNA synthetases). tRNAs cope with the degeneracy of the genetic code in two manners: having more than one tRNA (with a specific anti-codon) for a particular amino acid; and 'wobble' base-pairing, i.e. permitting non-standard base-pairing at the 3rd anti-codon position.
Source: RNAcentral
GCGCCCAUAGCUCAGCUGGAUAGAGUACUGCCCUCCGAAGGCAGGGGUCGUGGGUUCGAAUCCCGCUGGGCGCGCCA